UAUACCAUAAAUGCAAUUAUAUUUAUUUUAUUAUAUAUUAAUAUAUAUAUAUACAGAGUGUCCUACAGUGUUAUUUUUAUUUUUAUAACUCUGUAAAAUAUUCUUUUUAUUUUCAUUCCUUAAUCACCGAAAAAGAUUUGAUUUUUCAAACUAAUUUUUAAAAUUUUCAAAAUAGGCAUUUUGUAAAAUAUAUUUUUCUAAAAAUUUUAAUUUAUUGAAAAUAAACGUGAAAAUAAUUAAUAUUCAAUUAAAGAUAAGGAAUUAACGUUUUGAUUUUGAUUCUUUAUUGCAUAACGUGUUAUUAAAAAGUGAUAAAAUAAAAAGAUUUUCUUUCAAUUAAGAGAUGAAAAUAAACAUUUAAUUUUUCUCUACAUAUGUGUCCCCCUCACGCAAUAUUCGAUUGAAAAAAAAAAAAAUGAAUAUUGAUCAAAUCGUUAGCAUAAGGAUAACACUGUAGGACAUCUUGUAUGUAAUUAAUAUACAUGGCGCGUACAUCGUAGUUUUUGUAGAAUUUUGAUUACUGUCGGUUAUUAUACUAUUAAAAUAACUAAAAUAUGAGAAUGUUCGCUGUGCAAUAUAGGUAUGACUUGUAAGUCCAUUUUGUUUUAAUUUCUAUACACACGUAAUUGAAUUUAUUAAACAAGAUACCUAUACCUAUCGCCUUUUAACACUUCACCGCGUGAGGUGGGAGCGCACAGUCGCGUAUAGGUAUUGAUGCAACCACUGGUUCACAAUCCGUAAUUAAUAGUUUGAUCAACCGGAAUUGAGAAGUGAUUGGACAAAUUUGACCGAAAUUAGUGUUAGGAGUACAAAUGUGUUUCAAAAUGUACCGGUCUCGAGGGGGGGGGAGGGGGAAUUAUUUUCCGUAAAUACGUCUGUGGGCGUGACUAUGAGGUGUUUAGCUCCCAUACUUCAUUGGCAGUGUUAAAUAAAACCAAAAAUGAUCAAAAACUUGUCAGCGUUUUAAUUUAAUUAAAUUAAUUACAUUGCACUAUUGUAAAAUACUAAACGGUAUAAUAACUACUAUAGCACUGAGAAAAAUGCACAAAAAGGCUUUUUAAAAAUAUAAACAAUGUAUAUGGAUUAUGGGUGUAAGUACAUGUAUAUUUAUUACCACUAUUCGCCCAAACUCUACUGAACGGAUAGAACUGAAACCGCGUAUAUAUGUAGUUCUUGACCAGGGAUAACAUAUAUGUUACUUCCUCUCCCCCGUAUUUUAUCCCAAAGGAGAAUGGUGGUUCAGAGUCAUCGGUAUUUCGGGAACGAAAAUAAUGAUUUUGUUGAUUUAUGGAUAACCUCGGCUAUCCGAAUGAAAUUAAAACCAAAAAAUGAACGGGGUAAAAUCUACGCGAGUAGCCCCCGAUUAAGAGCCGUAAUAGGAUAAUGAUAAUAUUUUUAUUAAUAUUUCUUUUGACACGGGCAGUGCCUAGCGGGGUACGUUAUUAUAUGUAAAUUUUAUUUGCUACGUUUAACCAAAUCUCCCUCCCCAUUCC
Molecule: non-coding RNA, 1493 nt
Organism: Cinara cedri
Lineage: Eukaryota; Metazoa; Arthropoda; Insecta; Hemiptera; Aphididae
Source: the annotation of a GenBank genome assembly